This 762-nucleotide ribosomal RNA is filed under the name Roseobacter denitrificans. Its description in RNAcentral is "bacterial SSU rRNA". It matches the Rfam family "Bacterial small subunit ribosomal RNA", at positions 58 to 871 of the family's 1533-position model. The record is from RNAcentral. Lineage: Bacteria; Pseudomonadati; Pseudomonadota; Alphaproteobacteria; Rhodobacterales; Roseobacteraceae.
CCAGUCGAGCGCUCACUUCGGUGGGAGCGGCGGACGGGUUAGUAACGCGUGGGAACAUACCCUUCUCUACGGAAUAGCCUUUGGAAACGAAGAGUAAUACCGUAUACGCCCUUUGGGGGAAAGAUUUAUCGGAGAUGGAUUGGCCCGCGUUAGAUUAGAUAGUUGGUGGGGUAAUGGCCUACCAAGUCUACCAUCUAUAGCUGGUUUUAGAGGACGAUCAGCAACACUGGGACUGAGACACGGCCCASACUCCUACGGGAGGCAGCAGUGGGGAAUCUUAGACAAUGGGCGCAAGCCUGAUCUAGCCAUGCCGCGUGAGUGAUGAAGGCCCUAGGGUCGUAAAGCUCUUUCGCCAGGGAUGAUAAUGACAGUACCUGGUAAAGAAACCCCGGCUAACUCCGUGCCAGCAGCCGCGGUAAUACGGAGGGGGUUAGCGUUGUUCGGAAUUACUGGGCGUAAAGCGCACGUAGGCGGAUCAGAAAGUUAGGGGUGAAAUCCCGAGGCUCAACCUCGGAACUGCCUCUAAAACUCCUGGUCUUGAGUUCGAGAGAGGUGAGUGGAAUUCCAAGUGUAGAGGUGAAAUUCGUAGAUAUUUGGAGGAACACCAGUGGCGAAGGCGGCUCACUGGCUCGAUACUGACGCUGAGGUGCGAAAGUGUGGGGAGCAAACAGGAUUAGAUACCCUGGUAGUCCACACCGUAAACGAUGAAUGCCAGUCGUCGGGCAGUAUACUGUUCGGUGACACACCUAACGGAUUAAUCCG